Molecule: long non-coding RNA, 913 nt
Organism: Monodelphis domestica (gray short-tailed opossum)
Lineage: Eukaryota; Metazoa; Chordata; Mammalia; Didelphimorphia; Didelphidae
Source: RefSeq, a predicted model, not a curated record
UAGGUCAUUCCCAUAUCUCAGUUUUCCUGCCUAAAAGUGGGACUUAUAAACCCUCCCUUGCUCAGAUGUUAGGAUGGGAGGAUUAAGAUUGCAAACAUUAUUGCUGUGCCUUUCAGCUAAAAGAUUAUGAGCAAUUUAAGGAUCAGAAUGGGGUCUGUAUAAUCUCUGUUGCAUCAUGCCUAACAUAAGCCCACAGCUGUAAAAUGGUCACACCAAGAGAUAAGCACCAAUCAAGCAAAGUUACAAAAAGGAGAGAUGCAAUUUGGAAUUCCUGAUACCUGGAUUAUUUCAGAGGGUCACUGUGAAGAUGAAUGAGGCCAAAUUCUUUAGGGGAAAAGGAACUCUAGCAACCCAAAGUGUACUGUAUUAUCAUUAAUAAGCAGUCUGACUCCAGAACCACCAACAAGCGGCACGGCUCUUCAUGACACAGCACAGCCCCUCUCUGCCUCAGACGUUGUCUCAUUCUGUCUAAUAUGCCAUUUUAAUGAGACUCAAACUCCACUCUGCCUCUAUCACAGGAGCACAAAGAAGAUGGGAGUGAGAUAGUUCUCGUCUUGCUAAGAGCCCUUCACCAUCUGGAAGGAAUAAAACGUUAAUUAAGAGCAAGAAAGGAACAACUGAUGGGUGAUCCGUGUUUCUGUGGGGGGGGGGAGAAAAAACACUCCAGGGAGUUGGGGUGGGCAGAGCAGAAUGCCCAAAGGACAAGUGUGCUUCCCGUGCAGUCAGGAAGUCCCUUUGUCCGCCUGGCAAUGGGAUGGCUCUUGGAGGGCUGUUGGCCCAGCUCAAAUUCUAGCCUCUCCUCCACAGGCCUCCCCAAUGGCUUCUAUCCCACGGCGAUUCCGCCUUCUACAAACUCCCAAAGCAUUUCUUUUCUGUACUCUGUCAUUUAAUAUACACCGACUUCCACCAUCUC